Molecule: long non-coding RNA, 690 nt
Organism: Drosophila guanche
Lineage: Eukaryota; Metazoa; Arthropoda; Insecta; Diptera; Drosophilidae
Exons: 2
Source: RefSeq, a predicted model, not a curated record
GAGGCGAAACCAGUUGACGGCGAGCCGUGCAAGCAGACGGUCGUGUUGUAGUCGCAAAUUGCUAAAAGGAAAGUGUCCCCCCCCCCCCCCAAGAAAAACAACAAGAAAAACAAACCAAACCAAAGCCCAAACAAAAGGCCCAUCAAUAUCAUCAUAGUUACGGGUUGUUCCUAGUGUGGAGUGCAUACCAAGAGAAAACUGCUAUCAAAGGAUACAAGUGCGAAGGAUACGCCGCAGCAUUAUCCUGACGAGACAUAGAGACCCAUCCCCAAAAAACAGUGAGACAUUGUCCUUUUUUUUGUUUACAACUCGCGGAGAGGACUUUGCAUUUUUGUGGGUCUAGGACUCGGUGGAGGGUGUCCGUGCCCGUGUAUUUCGUGGUCUCCGUGUUAGUUUUUGUGGUCUAACCCUCCCUCGUGCACCAGCCCCUAGUCCAGUCCUGUCCUUAGCCGCCGUGCUUUGUGUUUGUGUUGUGCUGCUGCAAAGUGGACGAUGCCAUGGCAACACAUUGCUAAUCGAUGACGUGACCAAAAAUAAAGAAAUCCAACCAGAAAACCAACAAAAUAACUGUCAGCAAACAAGACCCUUCACAUUUUGGGAUAACACUAGGAUAAUGUCCAUCAACUGAUUUCGGUUUGUAAAUUGGAAUGGCUGUAAAAAUGUGAACGAGCAGAAGAGCAGCAGCAACAA